CCCCUUAACAUUUAGACUUUCAUUUCUUUAGGAGCGAGGAGAGAUUUCUAAAAAUGCAUGUGUCGUGAUUAAAGGGCCACAUAAAAUAUCACCCAACCCAACCCUUGUUAAUUUGACAGAGACGAGUACCUCUUCGCUGGUUGGCCAUCGAAUCGUUAAGGCACCAACUGUACACCUCACAGAGUGACGUGUGGUCGUUCGGAAUCCUCCUUUGGGAAAUAGCAACAUUUGGUGGGUCUCCGUACCCGUCCAUUCCGAACGACUCGCUGGCAGAGACAAUCAAACGAGGAUACCGCAUGCCCCAGCCAGACAACUGUCAUGACCACAUUUAUGCACUGAUGCGCGAGUGUUGGGACGAGGAACCAGACAACAGACCGACCUUUACUGAGUUGGUUUAUAUCCUCAGUGACAUGGCUGACAGUCGGAUUAAGCACACUUAUAUGGCAGUCAUCCGCAAUGACUAUGAGAAUGCGCGUGUCUUCCGGCCCGAACUGGAUGACAGCUGAUGAGGUUCGCUGGACUCGGUGUUGCUUUCCGCGUAAACGUACAAAAAUUACCAUUUAUCGUAUGGUAAAAUUUGUUGUUAUUAUUAUGAGGAUUAUCUGUUUAAAGAAAAUAACCAACAGCCAUUUUGAAUUGUCAUAAGCCCAAAUGCGUUACAUGCAUAGUAAAUUAGGCACCUCGUUUAUCUAAUGAGAGAAAGGGGGUAUUAAGAUAGCGUUAUAAUCAGACGAAUCUUGUACAUUUAUGUCUUUUAUGUACAUAAAGUCCCUUUUGAAAGGGAAAUUCUCACUUUCAAUGUUAAUUUUUCCUUCAAAGAUUACGCUUAUGUACCCAUUGUUGCUCUAAGCCUACCAUACUUGUCUUACUUAUGUAACCUGCUUCAGUAAACUGUUAGUUUUACUCAGAGAUGUAACCAAGUCAUUUUUACAAAGUCAAGUCAAGCCCCAAGUCAAAUUUUAGCAAGUCAAGUCUCAAGUCAU
Molecule: long non-coding RNA, 983 nt
Organism: Acanthaster planci (crown-of-thorns starfish)
Lineage: Eukaryota; Metazoa; Echinodermata; Asteroidea; Valvatida; Acanthasteridae
Source: RefSeq, a predicted model, not a curated record